GCUUACCGUGGUCUUCAGUUGUCGAGUACCCUAUUUGGGGUGGCUGUUAUCCAAAUCAAACCCCAGAUGGAGAAGUUGUUGCGCCUUCCUGACGAUAGCUUGACCAAAGAAAU
RNAcentral lists this non-coding RNA (113 nucleotides) under Paramoeba aestuarina. Lineage: Eukaryota; Discosea; Flabellinia; Dactylopodida; Paramoebidae. The record is from RNAcentral.